GACGAACGCUGGCGGCGUGCUUAACACAUGCAAGUGGAGCGACGAACCAGAGCUUGCUCUGGGGCAGAGCCGCGAACGGGUGAGUAACACGUGGGUAACCUACCCCAAUGACCGGGACAACCCGAGGAAACUCGGGCUAAUACCGGAUGUGCUCGAUUACUUCAAGGUUUUUGAGUAAAGAUAGCUUCGGCCUUCGCAUUGGGACGGCCCGCGGCCCAUUAGCUUGUUGGUGAGGUAACGGCUUACCAAGGCGACGAUGGGUAGCUGGUCUGAGAGGACGAUCAGCCACACUGGGACUGAGACACGGCCCAGACUCCUACGGGAGCUG
Molecule: ribosomal RNA, 328 nt
Filed under: uncultured Actinomycetes bacterium
Lineage: Bacteria; Bacillati; Actinomycetota; Actinomycetes
Description: bacterial SSU rRNA
Rfam family: Bacterial small subunit ribosomal RNA
Source: RNAcentral